Oncorhynchus keta (chum salmon) is the source of this 4764-nucleotide long non-coding RNA. RefSeq lists it as uncharacterized. The transcript is spliced from 6 exons. Lineage: Eukaryota; Metazoa; Chordata; Actinopteri; Salmoniformes; Salmonidae. The record is from RefSeq and is a predicted model, not a curated record.
CAUCUGUCAGGGAGAAGGGAGAGAGAGGGGAGAGAGAGAGGGGAGAGAGAUGGUGAGACAAUAGAUAAGGAGGAGAGAAACAAGGUGAGGUAGGUAGAGAGCGACAUAACGGUUCACUGUGCUUGGGCAAGACACUUUGUGUCAGAGAGAGAGAGAGAGAUAGAGACACAGGGAGACCAGAUUAGACAGAGGUGGAGUGAGGACCAGUGAGAAAGGAGAGAACUGGUUAGACAGAGUUAGAGAAAGAGGAGAGAGACCUGGUUAGACAGAGUUAGAGAAAGAGGAGAAAGUUCGGGUUAGACAGAGUUAGAGAAAUAGGAGAGAGACCUGGUUAGACAGAGUUAGAGAAAGAAUAGAGAGUUUGGGUUAGACAGAGUUAGAGAAAGAGGAGAGAGACCUGGUUAGACAGAGUUAGAGAAAGAGGGGAGAGACCAGGUUAGACUGAGGUAGAGUGAGGUAGAGAGAGGAGAGACUAGGUUAGACUGAGUUAGAGAAAGUGGAGAGAGACCUGGUUAGAUAGAGUUAGAGUCAGGUAGAGUCAGGUAGAGAGAGAGUGACCAGGUUAGACUGAGGUAGAGUGAGGUAGAAAGAGAGAGGUAGAGAGAGGAGAGACCAGGUUAGACAGAGGUAGAGUAAGGUAGAGAGAGAGAGACCAGGUUAGAGUAAGGUAGAGUGAGGUAGAGAGAGAGAGGAGAGACCAGGUUAGAUAGAGUUAGAGUCAGGUAGAGUGAGGUAGAGAGAGAGAGACCAGGUUAGACUGAGGUAGAGCUAGGUAGAAAGAGAGAGGUAGAGAGAGGAGAGACCAGGUUAGACAAAGGUAGAGUGAGGUAGAGAGAGGAGAGACCUGGUUAGACAGAGGUAGAGUCAGGUAGAGAGAGGAGAGACCUGGUUAGACAGAGGUAGAGUCAGGUAGAGAGAGGAGAGACUUGGUUAGACUGAGAGAGACCAGGUUAGACAGAGGUAGAGUGAGGUAGAGAGAGAGGAGAGACCUUGUUAGACAGAGGUAGAGUCAGGUAGAGAGAGGAGAGACUAGGUUAGACUGAGAUAGAGGGUGACCAGCUUAGAGAGAGAGAGAGAGAGGGAACAGGUUACAUAGAGGUAGAGGUAGAGGUAGAAAGAGAGAACAGGUUACAGAGAGGUAGAGGUAGAAAGAGAGAACAGGUUACAGAGAGGUAGAGAGAGAGAACAGUUUACAGAGAGGUAGAGGUAGAGAGAGAGAACAGGUUCCAGAGAGGUAGAAAGAGAGAACAGGUUACAGAGAGGUAGAGGUAGAAGGAGAGUACAGGUUACAGAGAGGUAGAGGUAGAAAGAGAGAACAGGUUACAGAGAGGUAGAGGUAGAAAGAGAGAACAGGUUACAGAGAGGUAGAGGUAGAAAGAGAGAACAGGUUACAGAGAGGUAGAGGUAGAAAGAGAGAACAGGUUACAGAGAGGUAGAAAGAGAGAACAGGUUACAGAGAGGUAGAAAGAGAGAACAGGUUACAGAGAGGUAUAGGUAGAAAGAGAGAACAGGUUACAGAGAGGUAGAGGUAGAAAGAGAAAACAGGUUACAGAGAGGUAGAGAGAGAGAACAGGUUACAGAGAGGUAGAGAGAGAGAACAUGUUACAGAGAGGUAGAGAGAGAGAACAGGUUACAGAGAGGUAGAGGUAGAAAGAGAGAACAGGUUACAGAGAGGUAGAGAGAGAGAACAGGUUACAGAGAGGUAGAGGUAGAAAGAGAGAACAGGUUACAGAGAGGUAGAGGUAGAAAGAGAGAACAGGUUACAGAGAGGUAGAGGUAGAAAGAGAGAACAGGUUACAGAGAGGUAGAAAGAGAGAACAGGUUACAGAGAGGUAGAAAGAGAGAACAGGUUACAGAGAGGUAGAGGUAGAAAGAGAGAACAGGUUACAGAGAGGUAGAGGUAGAAAGAGAGAACAGGUUACAGAGAGGUAGAGGUAGAAAGAGAGAACAGGUUACAGAGAGGGAGAGGUAGAAAGAGAGAACAGGUUACAGAGAGGUAGAGGUAGAAAGAGAGAACAGGUUACAGAGAGGUAGAGAGAGAGAACAGGUUACAGAGAGGUAGAGGUAGAAAGAGAGAACAGGUUACAGAGAGGUAGAGGUAGAAAGAGAGAACAGGUUACAGAGAGGUAGAGGUAGAAAGAGAGAACAGGUUACAGAGAGGUAGAGGUAGAGAGAGAGAACAGGUUACAGAGGUAGAGGUAGAAAGAGAGAACAGGUUACAGAGAGGGAGAGGUAGAAAGAGAGAACAGGUUACAGAGAGGUAGAGAGAGAGAACAGGUUACAGAGAGGUAGAGAGAGAGAACAGGUUACAGAGAGGUAGAGAGAGAGAACAGGUUACAGAGAGGUAGAAAGAGAGAACAGGUUACAGAGAGGUAGAGAGAGAGAACAGGUUACAGAGAGGUAGAGAGAGAGAACAGGUUACAGAGAGGUAGAAAGAGAGAACAGGUUACAGAGAGGUAGAGAGAGAGAACAGGUUACAGAGAGGUAGAAAGAGAGAACAGGUUACAGAGAGGUAGAAAGAGAGAACAGGUUACAGAGAGGUAGAGAGAGAGAACAGGUUACAGAGAGGUAGAAAGAGAGAACAGGUUACAGAGAGGUAGAGAGAGAGAACAGGUUACAGAGAGGUAGAAAGAGAGAACAGGUUACAGAGAGGUAGAGAGAGAGAACAGGUUACAGAGAGGUAGAGAGAGAGAACAGGUUACAGAGAGGUAGAAAGAGAGAACAGGUUACAGAGAGGUAGAGAGAGAGAACAGGUUACAGAGAGGUAGAGAGAGAGAACAGGUUACAGAGAGGUAGAGGUAGAAAGAGAGAACAGUUUACAGAGAGGUAGAGGUAGAAAGAGAGAACAGGUUCCAGAGAGGUAGAGGUAGAAAGAGAGAACAGGUUACAGAGAGGUAGAGGUAGAAAGAGAGAACAGGUUACAGAGAGGUAGAAAGAGAGAACAGGUUACAGAGAGGUAGAGGUAGAAAGAGAGAACAGUUUACAGAGAGGUAGAGGUAGAAAGAGAGAACAGGUUACAGACAGGUAGAGAGAGAGAACAGGUUACAGAGAGAUAGAGGUAGAAAGAGAGAACAGGUUACAGAGAGGUAGAGGUAGAAAGAGAGAACAGGUUACAGAGAGGUAGAGAGAGAGAACAGGUUACAGAGAGGUAGAGGUAGAAAGAGAGAACAGGUUACAGAGAGGUAGAGGUAGAAAGAGAGAACAGGUUACAGAGAGGUAGAGGUAGAAAGAGAGAACAGGUUACAGAGGUAGAGGUAGAAAGAGAGAACAGGUUACAGAGGUAGAGGUAGAAAGAGAGAACAUGUUACAGAGAGGGAGAGGUAGAAAGAGAGAACAGGUUAGAGAGAGGUAGAGGUAGAAAGAGAGAACAGGUUACAGAGGUAGAGGUAGAAAGAGAGAACAGGUUACAGAGAGGUAGAGGUAGAAAGAGAGAACAGGUUACAGAGAGGUAGAGGUAGAAAGAGAGAACAGGUUACAGAGAGGUAGAGAGAGAGAACAGGUUACAGAGAGGUAGAGGUAGAAAGAGAGAACAGUUUACAGAGAGGUAGAGGUAGAAAGAGAGAACAGGUUACAGAGAGGUAGAGAGAGAGAACAGGUUACAGAGAGGUAGAGAGAGAGAACAGGUUACAGAGAGGUAGAAAGAGAGAACAGGUUACAGAGAGGUAGAGGUAGAAAGAGAGAACAGGUUACAGAGAGGUAGAGAGAGAGAACAGGUUACAGAGAGGUAGAGGUAGAAAGAGAGAACAGGUUACAGAGAGGUAGAGGUAGAGAGAGAGAACAGGUUACAGAGAGGUAGAGAGAGAGAACAGGUUACAGAGAGGUAGAGAGAGAGAACAGGUUACAGAGAGGUAGAGAGAGAGAACAGGUUACAGAGAGGUAGAGGUAGAAAGAGAGAACAGGUUACAGAGAGGUAGAAAGAGAGAACAGGUUACAGAGAGGUAGAGGUAGAAAGAGAGAACAGGUUACAGAGAGGUAGAGGUAGAAAGAGAGAACAGGUUACAGAGAGGUAGAGAGAGAGAACAGGUUACAGAGAGGUAGAGGUAGAAAGAGAGAACAGGUUACAGAGAGGUAGAGGUAGAAAGAGAGAACAGGUUACAGAGAGGUAGAGAGAGAGAACAGGUUACAGAGAGGUAGAGGUAGAAAGAGAGAACAGGUUACAGAGAGGUAGAGGUAGAAAGAGAGAACAGGUUACAGAGAGGUAGAGGUAGAAAGAGAGAACAGGUUACAGAGAGGUAGAGUUAGAAAGAGAGAACAGGUUACAGAGAGGUAGAGGUAGAGAGAGAGAACAGGUUACAGAGAGGUAGAGAGAGAGAACAGGUUACAGAGAGGUAGAGAGAGAGAACAGGUUACAGAGAGGUAGAGGUAGAAAGAGAGAACAGGUUACAGAGAGGUAGAGGUAGAAAGAGAGAACAGGUUACAGAGAGGCAGAGGUAGAAAGAGAGAACAGGUUACAGAGAGGUAGAGGUAGAAAGAGAAAACAGGUUACAGAGAGGUAGAGAGAGAGAAAAGGUUACAGAGAGGUAGAGGUAGAAAGAGAGAACAGGUUACAGAGAGGCAGAGGUAGAAAGAGAGAACAGGUUACAGAGAGGUAGAGGUAGAGAGAGAGAACAGGUUACAGAGAGGCAGAGGUAGAGGUAGAGGAGAGAGACCGAAGGGGAGGAGAAGAGGCAUUAUGGAAAUGUGGUGUAGGUGGUCAUUGAGGGAAGGGGACUGGAGAGAGAUGAGGAAAAGGAGAAAGGGAGAAGUGAGCGUUAUGGUGAGGCU